GAUUAUCCGGAAUUUGAUACAAAGAGCGAGAAAUAAGUUUUAUGCAAUGCUAGCAACCAAACAGUACCCAUAACAGGAGUGAAAAACCCAAAAGAAGAAACAGUAGAGGGAGAGAGCAGAGCACAGCAGAGAGAUCGUAGAGAGAGAGAGAGAGUGGGGAUCAGCAAGAGAGAACCUUGAACACAACUUUCGCUGGACUCGCCGAAACUUUUUUCUCGUGGGCCUCUUCGGCAUCGCCAUUCCCGUCUUGGUCUACAAGGGCAUCGUCAGCGAAUUCCAUAAACAUGACGAGGAUGCAGGCAGACCAUACAAGAAGUUUAUUUGACUUGGCAGAGAAUGCUUUGCAUUUUAUGGGGUAGUAAAAUAAGGGUUUCAAUGGGAUCCUACAAUAUCAUAUCAGGAUAUGGAAAAUUUAUUCGCUUUUCUCUUUGUUACUCUGUGGCUUCUGAUGUUAGGGCAGUUUGCUACUUUGAAUUACAUUUUGCAUUUUGUCAUUAAGUAAUACAACUUCAAAGAGCAUGUAGUAAUA
Ziziphus jujuba (common jujube) is the source of this 529-nucleotide long non-coding RNA. RefSeq lists it as uncharacterized. Lineage: Eukaryota; Viridiplantae; Streptophyta; Magnoliopsida; Rosales; Rhamnaceae. The transcript has 2 exons. The record is from RefSeq and is a predicted model, not a curated record.